UUGGAGGGCAAGUCUGGUGCCAGCAGCCGCGGUAAUUCCAGCUCCAAUAGCGUAUAUUAAAGUUGUUGCAGUUAAAAAGCUCGUAGUUGAAUUUCGGGGUUCUACCGUUGGUCGGGCUUUGUCUGUACUGGUGUGUAGAAUUUCUACCUUCUGGGGAACCAUCAUGCUAUUAAUUUAGCGUGGUGGGAAACCAGGACCUUUACCUUGAAAAAAUUAGUGUGUUCAAAGCAGGCUUAUGUCUGAAUACAUUAGCGUGGAAUAAUAGAAUAGGACGGUGGUCCUGUAUUGUUGGUUUCUGAAUCACCGUAAUGAUUAAUAGGGAUAGUUGGGGGCAUUAGUAUUCAAUUGUCAGAGGUGAAAUUCUUGGAUUUAUUGAAGACUAACUUCUGCGAAAGCAUUUGCCAAGGAUGUUUUCAUUAAUCAAGAACGAAAGUUAGGGGAUCGAAGACGAUCAGAUACCGUCGUAGUCUUAACCAUAAACUAUGCCGACUAGGGAUCGGACGAUGUUAAUUUUUCUUGACUCGUUCGGCGCCUUACGGGAAA
Molecule: ribosomal RNA, 543 nt
Filed under: uncultured Glomeromycotina
Lineage: Eukaryota; Fungi; Glomeromycota
Description: SSU rRNA
Rfam family: Eukaryotic small subunit ribosomal RNA
Source: RNAcentral